This 674-nucleotide ribosomal RNA is filed under the name Meyerozyma guilliermondii. RNAcentral's name for it is "partial 16S ribosomal RNA". Lineage: Eukaryota; Fungi; Ascomycota; Pichiomycetes; Serinales; Debaryomycetaceae. The record is from RNAcentral.
UUUUGGAAANCCCUUUUGGGNAAAAAACCCAAAACGUCUUUGGCAAAUGCUUUCGCAGUAGUUAGUCUUCAGUAAAUCUAAGAAUUUCACCUCUGACAACUGAAUACUGAUGCCCCCGACCGUCCCUAUUAAUCAUUACGAUGGUCCUAGAAACCAACAAAAUAGAACCAUAACGUCCUAUUCUAUUAUUCCAUGCUAAUAUAUUCGAGCAAAGGCCUGCUUUGAACACUCUAAUUUUUUCAAAGUAAAAGUCCUGGUUCGCCAAACACCACAAGGGCGAAUGGUUAGCCAGAAGGAAAGGCUCGGUUGGGUCCAGUACUCGCCAAAAAGGCGGACCGGCCAACCAAGCCCAAAGUUCAACUACGAGCUUUUUAACUGCAACAACUUUAAUAUACGCUAUUGGAGCUGGAAUUACCGCGGNUGCUGGCACCAGACUUGCCCUCCAAUUGUUCCUCGUUAAGGUAUUUACAUUGUACUCAUUCCAAUUACAAGACCCGAAAGGGCCCUGUAUCGUUAUGUAUUGUCACUACCUCCCCGUGUCGGGAUUGGGUAAUUUGCGCGCCUGCUGCCUUCCUUGGAUGUGGUAAGCCGUUUCUCAGGCUCCCUCUCCGGAAUCGAACCCUUAUUCCCCGUUACCCGUUGAAACCAUGGNAGGCCACUAUCCUACCAAUGGG